AAUCCCGUGGGAAAACACCUAUAGAAAAAACCCAUCCGUGCAGGCAUCGCACGUCGCAUGCACUUGGUAUGCAAGGCCAGCACAGGACAUGCACACUAUGCGCAGUGCAAACUAGUGUGGCAUCAUGCGCCUUGUGCUCGCACCGUCCAUACAGUUGGUCCGCGUAGUGUGCGCUGCCCAUUGGGCGCCGUGCGCUACCUUGGGUGCCGCCACCGUCUUGGGCAGUGUGCUGCUGUAAGUUGGGAGGUUCUUUCUCUAUUUUUUGUGCCACCAUCACAUCGCAUCACAUAACUCUUUUCCCAUUCAACUUUCACUUUCCUCACCAGUUUUGCCACUUGGCACAAAUCUAAGUGUCCUCACUUCCUAUAAAU
This 371-nucleotide long non-coding RNA is filed under the name Carica papaya (papaya). RNAcentral describes it as "long non-coding RNA (CPAP_LNC016531)". Lineage: Eukaryota; Viridiplantae; Streptophyta; Magnoliopsida; Brassicales; Caricaceae. The record is from RNAcentral.